UGUACACUUGUCCUAGGGAUGCAGCGGCAAUAGGUGAAGAUGUGAGCUCUGAAUAUAUGUUUUGCCAAGGCUGACCAAGCUCUUCUUCGAUAAGUGACAUAGCUACAUCAUCUGGAAAUGAAGGAACCUUAUCACAAAGUUUUUGCAGUUCAGUCAUUGCAGAAGGAGACAAUAUAUCUGGCCGGAUACUCAAUGCUUGCCCAAG
Molecule: unclassified non-coding RNA, 205 nt
Filed under: Hevea brasiliensis (rubber tree)
Lineage: Eukaryota; Viridiplantae; Streptophyta; Magnoliopsida; Malpighiales; Euphorbiaceae
Source: RNAcentral